RNAcentral lists this ribosomal RNA (391 nucleotides) under uncultured bacterium. RNAcentral's name for it is "bacterial SSU rRNA". It matches the Rfam family "Bacterial small subunit ribosomal RNA", at positions 28 to 417 of the family's 1533-position model. The record is from RNAcentral.
GACGAACGCUGGCGGCGUGCUUAACACAUGCAAGUCGAGCGGUAAGGCCCUUUCGGGGGUACGACGAGCGGCGAACGGGUAGAGUAACACGUGGGUGACCUGCCCUCAGCUCUGGGAUAAGCCUGGGAAACCGGGUACUAAUACCGGAUAUGACUCCAUGACGCAUGUUGUGGGGUGGAAAGCCUUGUGCGGCUGAGGAUGGGCCCGCGGCCUAUCAGCUUGUUGGUGGGGUGAUGGCCUACCAAGGCGACGACGGGUAGCCGGCCUGAGAGGGCGACCGGCCACACUGGGACUGAGACACGGCCCAGACUCCUACGGGAGGCAGCAGUGGGGAAUCUUGCGCAAUGGGCGAAAGCCUGACGCAGCGACGCCGCGUGAGGGAUGACGGCCU